Fukomys damarensis (Damara mole-rat) is the source of this 3268-nucleotide RNA transcript. It is a transcript of the gene named BCLAF1 and THRAP3 family member 3, with no coding region annotated. The record is from RefSeq and is a predicted model, not a curated record. The transcript has 15 exons. NCBI's taxonomy places the organism in Eukaryota, Metazoa, Chordata, Mammalia, Rodentia, Bathyergidae.
GAAACGUCUCCUGAAAGCUGGCGCAUCUUCCUUUGCUUGUCUAGGAUGUAUUUAGGAAACUGGGCCACUACAGUGAAUCGAAGGACCCAGGGUCUUGAGCAUGCUGGUAUAAAAAGAGCUUAGUGGCUCAUGUGUCAAAGGAUGGCUUGGUCACAAUCUCGAUCCCCCAGGUGGAAACACAGAUCUUUAUCACCAGUACCUAGAAAUUUUGAAUACUACAAGCAAAGAUAUUCUUCUGAGCAUUAUGGCUGUGAAUCUAGAAAAGAUCCAAGAAGACAUAAUGCUUGGAGAAUGGAUGAUGAGAAACAUGGAGAGAAUAAAACAAGGAUUCCCCAUCGUGGAUAUUUCUAUCAUAGAUCUUAUGAACAUAGAUCACCUUCCCCAGACAUAAGAAAUUCUUUCGAUGAUGCUUACAUGUAUAAGCCUCACCAAGUAUACUCGCCUGGAAGAGGGAAUGGCAGCAGAAGAUUUCAGUAUAUGCCCACAUACUCAGAGGAUACACCCUACCUAGAGUAUGAGAGGGAUCCUUAUCCCCAUAAAAUGCAAGGGAGGUAUAUUCCUGAUAACUACAGAGAGAGAGGAAGGAAACCACCUCAGAGGUCAAUGGAAGAUUCCUUUACAUUUGAAGGAAAGUGGCAUGAUGAUGAGUUCAGACACCAGCGGAUACAAGAAGAAAAAUAUUCCCAGUUACCUAGAAGAGGCCAAGAAGACUUUGAAACAAGGAGCUCUUUUCAGAAGAGGUAUCCUGAGGAUCGUGAUUUCAGAAAAUAUGGACACACAUCAAAAAGAACUAAGGAUGUGGAGAGAUACAAAGAUAGAGAGCCUGCCAAGAACCCAAAGUGGAAACCUGAGCAUUCUUUUCCAUCUUAUCAAGAGAAGAAGAAUGAGCGGGACUUCGGACACCAAGCUUACCGAUACACUGAGAGGGAAUACCCAGAGAGCAGUUCAGCAACCAAAGUAUCCUAUGACUAUCGCCACAAGCAUAAGCUCUCGGAUGAUGACCAGGACUUUGCUGAUGGGAGAACUCAGAAAUACUUGAAAGAAGAUAAAAAAUAUUCUCCAAAAGGCCCUGUAAAUAAAGAGUCAGAAUGUACUAAUGCUGGAAGAGGGAAAGAGACUGAAGGUGGGCUAGUCAAGGAUCCUGUUAAACCACCUAAGAAAGACCACAUUCCCUGUGCUCAUUCAAGUAAAAAUGAAGUUAAUUUGAAGCCCUGUAAUGACAAGUGGAAGAAAAAAAGGAAGAAAGAAGAAGACUGCAAAAAAGUGAACAACUCUUCCAGUAACCUACCGGAUACAAGUGAGAACCUUUCCAAUGUGAAACCCUCACCUGUCAGUCUUGGGAAGAAAUCACUUACAAUUAAAGUAGAUGUGAAGAAAAAUGUAGAUCCACCCAGGGUUUCAUCUAGCUAUUCUGAAGAGAGACAGAUAUCACAUGAUUUGGUUGCUGCUGGCAGGAAAAUUGAGAACUUUCAUCCAGUGUUUGAACAUCUCAAUUUAUCUCACAAUACUGAAAGCAAAUCUACUGGAGAAUUUGCUCAGGAAAUCAUAACAAUAAUUCAUCGAGUUAAAGCAAAUUAUUUUCCAUCACCUAACAUUACUCUACAUGAACGUUUCUCAAAACUGCGAGACACCCACAACACAGAUGUAAAAGAAAGUCAAUUGAAUUCAGAUCCAGAAAUUCACAGGAGAAUAGAUAUGUCUUUGGCAGAGCUUCAUAAUAAACAAACUACGCAAUAUGAAUCAGAUCAGACUCUGGUCAAAGUAAUAGAUCCAAAUGACCUACGUCAUGACAUUGAGAGGAGGAGAAAAGAGCGGUUACAGAGUGAAGAUGAGCACAUUUUUCAUGUAGCUAGUGCUACAGAGAGGAAUGAUCAGCAUUCCAGUUUUUCAAAGAAUUAUAUGAUGCAGAGAAAAGAUGCUACUACUCAGAAAUUGUCUGGAGUUGAGAGAAACCAGCAAGUCUUUAAAAGAGCUUUUAAGAGUUACUUUAGAGGUGGCAGAUUCCAGCCCCAGUAUAAAUCAGACCUGGUACAGAAGAGCUUAUACAUUCAGGCUAAAUAUCAGCGUUUACGAUUUGCUGGUCCAAGGGGAUUUAUCACUAAUAAAUUCAGAGACAGGUCACCAAGGAAAGAAAAGAUUGCAUAUACAGUGAGUUCAUGUGGUAAUUUUCUUUCUGUGCCUGGCUUAUUUCACAUUAAAUAAUGGCUUCCAGGUGUAUCCACAUUAUCACAAAGUUUUAAUAAUGUAAGACCCUAAGAAAAGGAUUAUACAAACGUUGCCACAGAAACCUAAUCUGGAAUUGUUGCAAAUGGAAAUACCACUACAGGAGAAUAUUUGGGAGCAUCUCUUUUUGUCAGGAGUUAGAGUUGGCACUAAGGCACUAAUACUGUAACUUUCUUGAUAAAAUAACUUUAUUUUUCAGUAGUGGAAUGUUGUAACUUUUUUACAUUUAACAGUUGCUUUUAAAUUACAGUAUUCAAUUUAAAGGUUGUAUUAACUACCGUUUUUGGGGGGUUUUUUUUGCAAAAAGUUUGAAUAGAAUGAAUUGCAGGGCAUUGUUUGUCGAUGAAUUUUUCUCUGAGCAUGGUUUCAUCUAAAGAACUUAAGCAAAUUAUGUCCAGACAUUUAUAUGUUCAAAGUUUUGUUUAUGUAAAAAAAAAGUAUCUGAAUUGUAUAGUGUCUGUACAUGAAAGAACUUUAAACAGUGGCCUUACAGUAGUAAUUUUUAUACCAAGCUUUUCUUUUUCUGAUAACAUUUUGGCUUAUAACUUGAAGUUUUCUUAAGUUUCUGAAGAUCAAGGCCUAUACAAUUCAUACAUUUCAUAUUAUAAUAAGGCUAGAGAAAAGGUGCUUCAAAUUUUCCAUCAGGUAGUUGUGAAUGCACUGAAUUUUUAGUAAUAUGUUCAUUCAGUUUUUUCCCACAACUAUUUGCUCUUUUCCAGUUUCCAAAUGCUGUUGUGGAAAUAUGUAAAGAUUUUAUAACCUAUAUUCCAUCUUACUUUUCCCUCAGGGCAAGCUUGUCAUAUAUUUUUAAAGGCUUUUAAACAGUCUGACAGACAAUAUCUCAUAUUUGAAAAUUGUACUUUACUACUACAGCAUUACACAUUUUGCAAGCACAUCUUAUAGACUGUUUAUUUUCAGUUCAGUUGAUAUGUACUGUGUACCUACUAUGUGUAAGAUGAAAUUGGUGGAAUUUUAAAUAAAACUUUUAGGUCCCAGUACCUUAUUUCAUUAUGUCUUCUGUGUCUUACUUAACAGUACAUAUACA